GUUUAAAUAGUUUAAUUAAAAUUUUAGUGUGUGAUUCUAAAGAUAUAUCUUAUAUUUUAAACA
This 63-nucleotide transfer RNA is filed under the name Curculionidae sp. BMNH 1039870. RNAcentral's name for it is "tRNA-His". Lineage: Eukaryota; Metazoa; Arthropoda; Insecta; Coleoptera; Curculionidae. The record is from RNAcentral.